UGUUGACAUAAGACCGCGGGUGUGGGGGGCUCAGGUGCGCUGUGCCUGCGUUCUCCAGUGUGGCCACUAACCGUGGGUCUCCAGGAGCAGCGUCCCCACUAAGAAGGAACUCAUGACAGAUGCCAAUUCUCAGACCCUGUUACAAACCUGCAGAAUCACCAUUUCUUCUAUGGAACCUGGACACCAAAUGAUUUCUAUGCACAUUCAAGCUCGAAAGCACAUCAUUGCUUAUCAGCCUGGGUUUACAGUAAAGGGUGCUUCUCAGGUAGACCAGGGUGAAGCACAAGGAGUCACAGAUACAUCUGUGAGAGCUGCUUUCAGUUGAAGAGAAGAUACCAGAGUGUUCGGCCUUCCCUUGGAAGGGGCAGGUCAGUGCAGCCCACGUUCCCCAUGCUGUGGCAGGAUCUGUGGCUGUCUGUGGGAGGGGAGGACAUCUGAAACCGGGACGGAGAAACUCACGCAAGUGUCCGUGUAGUACCUCUCUUCUUUUCUUUUGAAUCUUUCCUGUGACGCAGCCUCUUGUGCAUUUCGAGAUCCUUCUGCCUCUGACCUGAUGAUAGCAGGUGAAGAAGCUGUGCUGAGGCCUUUAAAGGCUUCCAGGUGUGAUUUCUCGAUAUAAUCUCACCCAUGGAAACAAUGAAGAGCAGGAGGGAGAGGAAGAAAUGGCCGCUUCUCAGGUAAAUUUGUCUUGCCUUAGCUUAGGGCAGUGUCCUCAUUUCUUCCCCAAAUGCCAUAUAUUUAGAAUUUGCACAUUCAGUUCUCUACCUCUGGUUGUCCUUCCUAGCAAAUUUGUUUUGCUAUUUAUCCUUUUAAUGAGAGUGAGAGUGAAUUCUUAGGGUAUUUCUCUCUUGCAUUGCUGGGGCCGUCUCCAUUCUCUCCGACUGUGCUUUCUAAGCAGCGUAGGGAAUUCCUACCAUGAAUUCAUUCCCUGGAGUAUGAAAAUAUUCCCGCUAUGACAGAUCAACAAGGGGCUUGUUGCUACCCAAGAUUCACACCUGGGGACGUGUUGGGUUUCAGGACCCCAGUGAAGGGGGAGAAUAUAUAAUAUUUAUGGUUCUGUCUGGGUGUGGCCUCAGUCUUCAGAAACUAGAUGAACAUGAAAAAACAAUCCAGAUGGCUAUUAGGCCCAGAACAAGUCAGUGCUCUGAAAAAGAGAGCCUUGCUGUCUACAUUGCUUCAAAGAAGGACUUAGUAUUUGAAAUAUAUUAAAGAUUACAGGACACUGGAGCAAUCUGUGGCUUGAAAUUUCAUAACUGCUAUACUUUCACAAUUGGAAUCCUAGGAUUUGUUUUUCUUUUUGUUUUUUGGGGGGGUUUUUUAGUUUU
Molecule: long non-coding RNA, 1325 nt
Filed under: Ursus maritimus (polar bear)
Lineage: Eukaryota; Metazoa; Chordata; Mammalia; Carnivora; Ursidae
Description: lncRNA (ENSUMAG00000011786.1)
Source: RNAcentral